GCCGUAACUCUCAAGCAGCUGUACUGGAGAAAAGAUGCCUGACUCGUGUGCAGCUUGGGGCUGUACAAACUGUCGCACAAUCCAAACCAGGUCUCGGGGAAUUACCUCUCAUAGCCAGUGGCAACUGGGACAACACAAGCCUCAAGGAAGGCUGAAGAGAGCCUGUUAGUGGACUAUUCUCUAAAUUUCUAAGAGACUGUACCCCCUCUGCCUAAUAUUGACCACUCUUAUGCAUUGCCUGCAUCUCCCACUGGUCUAAAGGCCAGACUCCGUGAAGCCUUGGUUAGGGUGGAGAGUCUGGAGCAAGAGUUGAGGAAUGAGAAAGACUGAGAAUGGAGGGCAAAGAACACAGUGCAUGAUCUUCUAGAGGAUCUGAAGAGGAAGAACCUCAUAAAU
Long non-coding RNA from Myxocyprinus asiaticus (Chinese sucker), 396 nucleotides. RefSeq lists it as uncharacterized. The transcript is spliced from 3 exons. NCBI's taxonomy places the organism in Eukaryota, Metazoa, Chordata, Actinopteri, Cypriniformes, Catostomidae. The record is from RefSeq and is a predicted model, not a curated record.